RNAcentral lists this long non-coding RNA (446 nucleotides) under Carica papaya (papaya). Its description in RNAcentral is "long non-coding RNA (CPAP_LNC009809)". Lineage: Eukaryota; Viridiplantae; Streptophyta; Magnoliopsida; Brassicales; Caricaceae. The record is from RNAcentral.
CUAUCGAUAUCUUUGGCCUCUAUAAGGAUUUCCCCUAUACAUGGAUACUUACAUUUCUUUUACAAAUAUUGGUCAUCCCCACACUCUGUCCAAUAAUGGACGUCACUUGUACUGGCCACUCAAUAUCUCAUCUGAUAUGAGUGUCGUUUUUAUUGAUCAUUCUCAUACCUCGUCCGAUAUGGGUGUCAUUAACAAUCUCCCAACCCCGUCUGGUAUGGGACAUCUCAGCCCCGUAUGACUGAGGAUCAUAUCCAUGAUAGGGAUCACCCUAUAUGUUCCCCCCCGAUAUUCGGUAACAGUUUUAUUUAUCUCAUUGCCAUAUUUUAUUUUCAUCAGCAAACCUUGAUGCAGAACCCAGGAUCAACAACAGAAUCCAAAACUCUACAUAUACAUUAGCAAUCAAAAACUCAAGACCCUAAGUAAAUCCUCCCUACUUGAUAUGCACU